CAUCCUCCAAGGCUAAAUACUACUGACCGACCGAUAGUGAACCAGUACCGUGAGGGAAAGGCGAAAAGAACCCCGGAGAGGGGAGUGAAAUAGAUCCUGAAACCGUGUGCGUACAAGCAGUAGGAGCUCGAAAGAGUGACUGCGUACCUUUUGUAUAAUGGGUCAGCGACUUACUGUUCGUGGCAAGCUUAACCGUAUAGGGGAGGCGAAGGGAAACCGAGUCUGAUAAGGGCGCAUAGUCGCGGGCAGUAGACCCGAAACCGGGUGAUCUAGUCAUGGCCAGGGUGAAGGUGCCGUAACAGGUACUGGAGGCCCGAACCCACGUCUGUUGCAAAAGACGGGGAUGAGCUGUGAUUAGGAGUGAAAAGCUAAUCGAACCCGGAGAUAGCUGGUUCUCCUCGAAAGCUAUUUAGGUAGCGCCUCAUAUGUAUCCUCUCGGGGGUAGAGCACUGUUAUGGCUAGGGGGUCAUCGCGACUUACCAAACCAUUGCAAACUCCGAAUACCGAGACGGACUGUAUGGGAGACACACGGCGGGUGCUAACGUCCGUCGUGAAAAGGGAAACAACCCAGACCCACAGCU
This 581-nucleotide ribosomal RNA is filed under the name Staphylococcus hominis. RNAcentral's name for it is "bacterial LSU rRNA". It matches the Rfam family "Bacterial large subunit ribosomal RNA", at positions 454 to 1040 of the family's 2925-position model. The record is from RNAcentral. Lineage: Bacteria; Bacillati; Bacillota; Bacilli; Caryophanales; Staphylococcaceae.